CGAAUUAAUUUGGUCUAUUAUGUUUCGCGAAAUUGGCCUUCAUGACAUUAAGAGAGUACAUUCUGCGUAUCAAAAGAAACCUAUUUAUGUAUUGUUAUUUUGAAUGUUUUUAGAAUAUUUGUGAUUAAUUCAUCAACUUUUUUAAAAUGUUGAUUGACUUUUACACUCGCGUGACUUUGACGCUGCAUAACCAUUAGUGAGAGAGUUGAUUGGGCACAGGUGUAGAAGUAUUUUAACCGUUUAACAAAUCAAAGAAAGAAAAACAGACAGGAACAAAAGUAUUUCCCGACGGUAAAACAAGGAGGUACUGUAAUAGGAGAGACAUACUGUAGUUUUUCAGGUGCCUGCUUUAUUUGAAGAGCCUAUACACAGCUUAGAGAUACCCUUGUGAUAGGAGAUGUACAUUCUGCAUGCAAGAGCUCCACAUGUCCUGUUACCCCAUGUACUGUAUUUACCCAGAGGGAGUUGUGCUGAGGGAAAGGGUCGUGCAAGACUGAGCAAAGGCCUUGAAAGAUACAGUAACUAUCAUCUUUGGAACACCCGGGGGCAGGGGUGCCUUUACAGGAUCUUUGAAUGGGAAAGUCUCAGGAAAAACAGACGAGAAGCCAUAAAGUAAGGUAGAAACAGUGCUUUUUUAUAUGCUGUUUAAAGAAACAAAAACAGUGUGUUUAAAACAAAACAGCUUAGCUCUUAUUUGAGCUCUGAAUAAAUAACGUCUUGUAUUGUUUAUAAAUAAGGCUGUGGACCUAAUGCGCUUGCUAGCUUUACGAUAAAGUCUCUCAAAACUUCUCCAAAGCAUUCUUACAAACACCAAACUCAGUUGGUUUCUUCCCUCUGUGCUUCCUUCUCCCUAUGGUGCAACACAUAACGGUGCUUUUGCAAGCACCCCGC
This 891-nucleotide long non-coding RNA is filed under the name Lepisosteus oculatus (spotted gar). Its description in RNAcentral is "lncRNA (ENSLOCG00000022763.1)". The record is from RNAcentral. Lineage: Eukaryota; Metazoa; Chordata; Actinopteri; Semionotiformes; Lepisosteidae.